GACGAACGCUGGCGGCGUGCUUAACACAUGCAAGUCGAACGGAAAGGCCCUGCUUGCAGGGUACUCGAGUGGCGAACGGGUGAGUAACACGUGGGUGAUCUGCCCUGCACUUCGGGAUAAGCCUGGGAAACUGGGUCUAAUACCGGAUAGGAGCCAUUUUUAGUGUGAUGGUUGGAAAGUUUUUUCGGUGUAGGAUGAGCUCGCGGCCUAUCAGCUUGUUGGUGGGGUAAUGGCCUACCAAGGCGGCGACGGGUAGCCGGCCUGAGAGGGUGGACGGCCACAUUGGGACUGAGAUACGGCCCAGACUCCUACGGGAGGCAGAAGUGGGGAAUAUUGCACAAUGGGCGCAAGCCUGAUGCAGCGACGCCGCGUGGGGGAUGACGGCCUUCGGGUUGUAAACUCCUUUCGCUAGGGACGAAGCUUUUUGUGACGGUACCUAGAGAAGAAGCACCGGCUAACUACGUG
This 465-nucleotide ribosomal RNA is filed under the name uncultured bacterium. Its description in RNAcentral is "partial 16S ribosomal RNA". It matches the Rfam family "Bacterial small subunit ribosomal RNA", at positions 28 to 507 of the family's 1533-position model. The record is from RNAcentral.